This 269-nucleotide ribosomal RNA is filed under the name uncultured soil bacterium. RNAcentral's name for it is "partial 16S ribosomal RNA". It matches the Rfam family "Bacterial small subunit ribosomal RNA", at positions 26 to 321 of the family's 1533-position model. The record is from RNAcentral.
AGAACGAACGCUGGCGGCAUGCCUAACACAUGCAAGUCGAACGAGACCUUCGGGUCUAGUGGCGCACGGGUGCGUAACGCGUGGGAAUCUGCCCUUGGGUUCGGAAUAACAGCGAGAAGUUGCUGCUAAUACCGGAUGAUAGACGUAAAGUCCAAAGAUUUAUCGCCCAAGGAUGAGCCCGCGUAGGAUUAGCUUGUUGGUGAGGUAAUGGCUCACCAAGGCGACGAUCCGUAGCUGGUCUGAGAGGAUGAUCAGCCACACUGGAACUG